This 1343-nucleotide ribosomal RNA is filed under the name uncultured bacterium. Its description in RNAcentral is "16S ribosomal RNA". It matches the Rfam family "Bacterial small subunit ribosomal RNA", at positions 28 to 1378 of the family's 1533-position model. The record is from RNAcentral.
GACGAACGCUGGCGGCGUGCUUAACACAUGCAAGUCGAACGGAAAGGCCCUGCUUUUGUGGGGUGCUCGAGUGGCGAACGGGUGAGUAACACGUGAGUAACCUGCCCUUGACUUUGGGAUAACUUCAGGAAACUGGGGCUAAUACCGGAUAGGAGCUCCUGCUGCAUGGUGGGGGUUGGAAAGUUUCGGCGGUUGGGGAUGGACUCGCGGCUUAUCAGCUUGUUGGUGGGGUAGUGGCUUACCAAGGCUUUGACGGGUAGCCGGCCUGAGAGGGUGACCGGCCACAUUGGGACUGAGAUACGGCCCAGACUCCUACGGGAGGCAGCAGUGGGGAAUAUUGCACAAUGGGCGGAAGCCUGAUGCAGCAACGCCGCGUGCGGGAUGACGGCCUUCGGGUUGUAAACCGCUUUCGCCUGUGACGAAGCGUGAGUGACGGUAAUGGGUAAAGAAGCACCGGCUAACUACGUGCCAGCAGCCGCGGUGAUACGUAGGGUGCGAGCGUUGUCCGGAUUUAUUGGGCGUAAAGAGCUCGUAGGUGGUUGAUCGCGUCGGAAGUGUAAUCUUGGGGCUUAACCCUGAGCGUGCUUUCGAUACGGGUUGACUUGAGGAAGGUAGGGGAGAAUGGAAUUCCUGGUGGAGCGGUGGAAUGCGCAGAUAUCAGGAGGAACACCAGUGGCGAAGGCGGUUCUCUGGGCCUUUCCUGACGCUGAGGAGCGAAAGCGUGGGGAGCGAACAGGCUUAGAUACCCUGGUAGUCCACGCUGUAAACGGUGGGUACUAGGUGUGGGGUCCAUUCCACGGGUUCCGUGCCGUAGCUAACGCUUUAAGUACCCCGCCUGGGGAGUACGGCCGCAAGGCUAAAACUCAAAGGAAUUGACGGGGCCCCGCACAAGCGGCGGAGCAUGCGGAUUAAUUCGAUGCAACGCGUAGAACCUUACCUGGGUUUGACAUGGAUCGGGAGUGCUCAGAGAUGGGUGUGCCUCUUUUGGGGUCGGUUCACAGGUGGUGCAUGGCUGUCGUCAGCUCGUGUCGUGAGAUGUUGGGUUAAGUCCCGCAACGAGCGCAACCCUUGUUCACUGUUGCCAGCACGUUAUGGUGGGGACUCAGUGGAGACCGCCGGGGUCAACUCGGAGGAAGGUGGGGAUGACGUCAAGUCAUCAUGCCCCUUAUGUCCAGGGCUUCACGCAUGCUACAAUGGCUGGUACAGAGAGUGGCGAGCCUGUGAGGGUGAGCGAAUCUCGGAAAGCCGGUCUCAGUUCGGAUUGGGGUCUGCAACUCGACCUCAUGAAGUCGGAGUCGCUAGUAAUCGCAGAUCAGCAACGCUGCGGUGAAUACGUUCCCGGG